Long non-coding RNA from Megalobrama amblycephala (Wuchang bream), 759 nucleotides. RefSeq lists it as uncharacterized. Lineage: Eukaryota; Metazoa; Chordata; Actinopteri; Cypriniformes; Xenocyprididae. The transcript has 2 exons. The record is from RefSeq and is a predicted model, not a curated record.
UAGAGCUUGACAUAACUAGUAAAAUUAUAGACAUAGAAAUUCCCCUGACUACAACAAUUUAAUUUCCAUGACUUUAAGAUUUUAUUAGAAAACACACUUUUAAAAUUCGCUCAUGUAUCCAGGUUUUCCAAGAUUGUGGGAAGCCCCAGUCUUGAAUAAAAGUGACAGCUGUUUAGGGAAUUAAUUAAAAUAAUAAAUACAAUGUCAGAAGUACAAUGUCAUUUUUGCUUAAAAAUAUUUUGUCUUGUUUUGUCUUGAAUAUAUAUAUAUAUAUAUAUAUAUAUAUAUUCCUGCCACUGCUUUCUCAGAUGGGCUUGGACUGAACACUCUUGCAGACACUUGUUUUAAGUGCUGUUUCUGGAACUAGGACUGCUAAAAGAAAGAAGUGUAACUAUCAGUAAUGCACUCGAGUGCAAAAGUCUAUAGACUGUUCUCAGAUCAGAUGUGUGUUGAGCCAGUGUGGUUAACAAUAUACACUUCUCACACUGAACAACACGUUUCACACAAACGUGAAUAGCAACUCUAGCAGGAUUUCAACACACAGUCGGUCAGUCUAGAGGAAGUUCAGACACACAGGAGGAGCUGACAGUGUUUAGAGGAAGAACUGUAACUAUAUAACUAUAUAAAGAAGAGAAAGACUGAGAGAAACAGAAAAUGGCUGAUCAGUGUGAUCUGUGUCUGCUGGGACUGAUCAUUCUCUCUUCACUUCUCACAGGUACGAUUGGAGCAGAAGUGACUGAUGUGUUCAUCAGUUCUGGU